Molecule: ribosomal RNA, 301 nt
Filed under: uncultured bacterium
Lineage: Bacteria
Description: partial 16S ribosomal RNA
Rfam family: Bacterial small subunit ribosomal RNA
Source: RNAcentral
CAGUCGCCGCGGUAAUGCGUAAGUGGCAAGCGUUGUCCGGAAUUAUUGGGCGUAAAGGGCCCGCAGGCGGUUCCUUAAGUCUGAUGUGAAAGCCCCCGGCUCAACCGGUGAGGGUCAUUGGAAACUGGGUAACUUGAGUGCAGAAGAGGAGAGUGGAAUUCCACGUGUAGCGGUGAAAUGCGUAGAGAUGUGGAGGAACACCAGUGGCGAAGGCGACUCUCUGGUCUGUAACUGACGCUGAGGAGCGAAAGCGUGGGGAGCGAACAGGAUUAGAUACCCGUGUAGUCCCUGUCUCUUAUAU